This 623-nucleotide unclassified non-coding RNA is filed under the name Hevea brasiliensis (rubber tree). Lineage: Eukaryota; Viridiplantae; Streptophyta; Magnoliopsida; Malpighiales; Euphorbiaceae. The record is from RNAcentral.
UUUUUGGUUUUGCAACAUUCAAGGUGGCACCAAGACCUGUGGAUAUUCCACAACUGAGCACACAAACUUUGUCAAGAGGAGCGGCAGGGUUGAUCUUAGCAAGACAGCCAACAUGCACAACAGUGUAUUCACUAAAUGUGGAGGUGCCAAGAAAGUGGUGAAUGGGUUUCCCAUUGAUAGAGAAUCUCGACUGGCCAUCAGCAAGCAUAUGACCCCUAUCAGUAUUGAUUCUGAGGAGAUCACACAUGUUGCUUUCUUCUGAUUUACAGUGGCGGCACUCCUUGCAUUCCCCAGUGAACACAGGUAGGACAUGGUCACCUGGUUGGAGAUCAGUCCCCCCAGGACCGACACUCUCCACAAUUCCACUAGCUUCAUGACCAAAUAUGCGAGGAAAUAAUGGUGAUUGUCCCUUAGCUUCCCAGAAGUAAACAUCAGUGUGGCAUAAAGAGGUGAAGAGGAUCUUCAAACGAACUUCAUUAGCCUGUGGCGGUGCCACCUCUACUUCUUCAAUCACAAGUGGUUUUCCUGCCUCCCAUGCUACAGCAGCUUUACAGCGAAUGACCUGACCAGCGGUGCUAGACAUGACUACUUUCGAGUUUCAAAGACAAUGGAUGAUGAUGAAG